ACUGAAGGCGACAGGAAUAAGACCUUGAUGACAGACUAGGAUUGGACCACCGAGCUAGUGUGCGAAUCUACUGAAGAUAUGGAUCGCCUUAUUAGGAGCUCUGGUAAUAAGAUCCUUUAAAAAACUUAUUUCUAAAGUCCCUUAGAAACUUUAAGAGUGAUUUGUAAAAUUGUAAAGAUUUGAAAAAUGACUUGAGAUCGGGUCCUAGUUGAAAUAACUUAUUAGUAUCGAGACAAUUAUUUAGAGAUCGGAUAAUACAUUAACUUAGUUAAGAAAUGUUUGAACAAUUCGAGAGAGAUACCUGAUCACAAAACUAACCAAAGUUUGAAAUUUUGAAGUAUUUAAACACAACGAGAUUGGAAAACACAAAAUGUAAGAUCGGAUGAUCGGAAGAUCGGACAUCGAUAUGAACAGGUCGAAUAAAGAUAAAAAAAGAUUGGGAAAAUACCCUAACUUGAGCGCAAACUUGGGAUUUGUUAUUUGUCUGGGAAAUAUCUUGGACUAUUACCAGUUCAAAGAAAAUGAUCUGUAGCUGGAUAAUCAGUUGAGAUCGGAUGACAUUAAGAUAGGAGAUCCAGUCAAGAAAGUAUUAAAACUAAAUUACGAAUUUAAAAGAAAAUUAUAUAUUAAUUACACAAGUUAUGCAUUUGAGUGUCGACUAAAAUAUGGUGUCUACAGUAGUUUUAAGCUUAAAUAAAUAAAAUGUUUGCAUAGAACUUGAUGGAUGAUUGUACAAGUAGGAGAAUGCUUGAUGCUUAUGUAUAUAAAAAUUUACUGUAUUUUCCUCUUUUUGUUAAUAUAGAAGUCUAGUGUGCUGCCUUAAAAAAACAGUCUACUAUGCUUUAGUGGAUGGCAAACAAUAGAAUACAAGAGAUGUAUUAUACUUGUUCCGAUGGAAACAAAUGAUGAAUAGCUAUCAGAUAGGAGCAAAGUAAUAUGACAAAAUCUAUUUGUAUUUGAACAACUAUACUUUUUUAACACACCA
Molecule: unclassified non-coding RNA, 985 nt
Filed under: Hevea brasiliensis (rubber tree)
Lineage: Eukaryota; Viridiplantae; Streptophyta; Magnoliopsida; Malpighiales; Euphorbiaceae
Source: RNAcentral